This 427-nucleotide ribosomal RNA is filed under the name uncultured bacterium. RNAcentral's name for it is "partial 16S ribosomal RNA". It matches the Rfam family "Bacterial small subunit ribosomal RNA", at positions 355 to 774 of the family's 1533-position model. The record is from RNAcentral.
UGGGGAAUAUUGGAUAAUGGGGGCAACCCUGAUCCAGCCAUGCCGCGUGUGUGAAGAAGGCCUUUUGGUUGUAAAGCACUUUAAGCAGUGAAGAAGACUCCAUGGUUAAUACCCAUGGACGAUGACAUUAGCUGCAGAAUAAGCACCGGCUAACUCUGUGCCAGCAGCCGCGGUAAUACAGAGGGUGCAAGCGUUAAUCGGAAUUACUGGGCGUAAAGCGAGCGUAGGUGGCUUGAUAAGUCAGAUGUGAAAGCCCCGGGCUUAACCUGGGAACGGCAUCUGAUACUGUUAGGCUAGAGUAGGUGAGAGGAAGGUAGAAUUCCAGGUGUAGCGGUGAAAUGCGUAGAGAUCUGGAGGAAUACCGAUGGCGAAGGCAGCCUUCUGGCAUCAUACUGACACUGAGGUUCGAAAGCGUGGGUAGCAAACA